RNAcentral lists this ribosomal RNA (253 nucleotides) under uncultured bacterium. RNAcentral's name for it is "partial 16S ribosomal RNA". It matches the Rfam family "Bacterial small subunit ribosomal RNA", at positions 524 to 776 of the family's 1533-position model. The record is from RNAcentral.
UACGUAGGGUGCGAGCGUUAAUCGGAAUUACUGGGCGUAAAGCGUGCGCAGGCGGCUUCGCAAGUCAGACGUGAAAUCCCCGGGCUUAACCUGGGAAUGGCGUUUGAAACUACGGAGCUGGAGUGUGGCAGAGGGGGGUAGAAUUCCACGUGUAGCGGUGAAAUGCGUAGAUAUGUGGAGGAAUACCGAUGGCGAAGGCGGCCUCCUGGCUUAAUACUGACGCUGAGGUGCGAAAGCGUGGGGAGCAAACAGG